This is a long non-coding RNA of Fukomys damarensis (Damara mole-rat), 376 nucleotides long. RefSeq lists it as uncharacterized. The record is from RefSeq and is a predicted model, not a curated record. NCBI's taxonomy places the organism in Eukaryota, Metazoa, Chordata, Mammalia, Rodentia, Bathyergidae. The transcript is spliced from 3 exons.
UGUAUCCUCCCCUGCUCUUCGUGGCUCCCCAGUGCUGUCCUUUCCUAGACCCACGCCCUCCCUUGGCCAAGACAUUCCUGGCUCAGGCUCCGUCCCACCCCUUCCUUCUCCCUCCCUUCUUGCACACUGGCCUCCCUGUGGCCACAGCCACGCCUGGUCUCCAAGUCCCCAGCAGGGUGCCGGGCACGGGGCAGCCCUCAGCCCAACGGUGCGAGUCAAGAAAAAGCCGGCCCACUCCUUGGAAAACUGAAGCAAGAAGAUCAAAGUUCAAACCCAGCCUGGACAACGUAGAGACUUGAAGGGUCUCCAGAGCGGCCACCCCACACAUGAUGGACAGAAUGGAGUGAGUGACAGGCGCCUCUUUCCACGCCGGAGA